UUUGUGAUGACGAUAAUAACAUCAACGGCAAAAUUUGAGACAACAGUAGAUCAGCCGGGAAGGAUAGGAUACAGAAAUACAGCAGAGAAAAUAUCGGUUUACCAGCCACUUGCAGAAAUUCUUAAAGUUACAGAAAGAGACGAUUGUUACGACAAGUCAGAGAUGGCGGAUCCUUUUCGAAUCAUCUACGGAUUGCUAUUGUUCAUGUAUGUUUUACAAGUCAAAUGUAGGCUAUGUCUUCUUCCAUCACAAGUUUUAUUCCGUGAGCAUCCUGUCAGAUCAUAUAUUUUGCCGGAAUCAACAUUCUGUAUACUGUGUCAACAGAAUACAGAAUGUUGAUUCUGUAUUCUGUUGACACAACAUUCU
This 366-nucleotide long non-coding RNA is filed under the name Mytilus galloprovincialis (Mediterranean mussel). The record is from RNAcentral. Lineage: Eukaryota; Metazoa; Mollusca; Bivalvia; Mytilida; Mytilidae.